This 1343-nucleotide ribosomal RNA is filed under the name uncultured bacterium. Its description in RNAcentral is "16S ribosomal RNA". It matches the Rfam family "Bacterial small subunit ribosomal RNA", at positions 28 to 1378 of the family's 1533-position model. The record is from RNAcentral.
GACGAACGCUGGCGGCGUGCUUAACACAUGCAAGUCGAACGGAAAGGCCCUGCUUUUGUGGGGUGCUCGAGUGGCGAACGGGUGAGUAACACGUGAGUAACCUGCCCUUGACUUUGGGAUAACUUCAAGAAACUGGGGCUAAUACCGGAUAGGAGCUCCUGCUGCAUGGUGGGGGUUGGAAAGUUUCGGCGGUUGGGGAUGGACUCGCGGCUUAUCAGCUUGUUGGUGGGGUAGUGGCUUACCAAGGCUUUGACGGGUAGCCGGCCUGAGAGGGUGACCGGCCACAUUGGGACUGAGAUACGGCCCAGACUCCUACGGGAGGCAGCAGUGGGGAAUAUUGCACAAUGGGCGGAAGCCUGAUGCAGCAACGCCGCGUGCGGGAUGACGGCCUUCGGGUUGUAAACCGCUUUCGCCUGUGACGAAGCGUGAGUGACGGUAAUGGGUAAAGAAGCACCGGCUAACUACGUGCCAGCAGCCGCGGUGAUACGUAGGGUGCGAGCGUUGUCCGGAUUUAUUGGGCGUAAAGGGCUCGUAGGUGGUUGAUCGCGUCGGAAGUGUAAUCUUGGGGCUUAACCCUGAGCGUGCUUUCGAUACGGGUUGACUUGAGGAAGGUAGGGGAGAAUGGAAUUCCUGGUGGAGCGGUGGAAUGCGCAGAUAUCAGGAGGAACGCCAGUGGCGAAGGCGGUUCUCUGGGCCUUUCCUGACGCUGAGGAGCGAAAGCGUGGGGAGCGAACAGGCUUAGAUACCCUGGUAGUCCACGCUGUAAACGGUGGGUACUAGGUGUGGGGUCCAUUCCACGGGUUCCGUGCCGUAGCUAACGCUUUAAGUACCCCGCCUGGGGAGUACGGCCGCAAGGCUAAAACUCAAAGGAAUUGACGGGGCCCCGCACAAGCGGCGGAGCAUGCGGAUUAAUUCGAUGCAACGCGUAGAACCUUACCUGGGUUUGACAUGGAUCGGGAGUGCUCAGAGAUGGGUGUGCCUCUUUUGGGGUCGGUUCACAGGUGGUGCAUGGCUGUCGUCAGCUCGUGUCGUGAGAUGUUGGGUUAAGUCCCGCAACGAGCGCAACCCUUGUUCACUGUUGCCAGCACGUUAUGGUGGGGACUCAGUGGAGACCGCCGGGGUCAACUCGGAGGAAGGUGGGGAUGACGUCAAGUCAUCAUGCCCCUUAUGUCCAGGGCUUCACGCAUGCUACAAUGGCUGGUACAGAGAGUGGCGAGCCUGUGAGGGUGAGCGAAUCUCGGAAAGCCGGUCUCAGUUCGGAUUGGGGUCUGCAACUCGACCUCAUGAAGUCGGAGUCGCUAGUAAUCGCAGAUCAGCAACGCUGCGGUGAAUACGUUCCCGGG